CCUACGGGCGGCAGCAGUGGGGAAUAUUGGACAAUGGGGGCAACCCUGAUCCAGCCAUGCCGCGUGUGUGAAGAAGGCCCUCGGGUUGUAAAGCACUUUCAGUGAGGAAGAACGCCUGGUGGUUAAUACCCAUCAGGAAAGACAUCACUCACAGAAGAAGCACCGGCUAACUCCGUGCCAGCAGCCGCGGUAAUACGGAGGGUGCGAGCGUUAAUCGGAAUUACUGGGCGUAAAGCGCGCGUAGGUGGCUUGAUAAGCCGGUUGUGAAAGCCCCGGGCUCAACCUGGGACCGGCAUCCGGAACUGUCAAGCUAGAGUGCAGGAGAGGAAGGUAGAAUUCCCGGUGUAGCGGUGAAAUGCGUAGAGAUCGGGAGGAAUACCAGUGGCGAAGGCGGCCUUCUGGACUGACACUGACACUGAGGUGCGAAAGCGUGGGUAGCAAACAGGAUUAGCUACAAUGGUAGUC
This 465-nucleotide ribosomal RNA is filed under the name Vreelandella stevensii. RNAcentral describes it as "partial 16S ribosomal RNA". It matches the Rfam family "Bacterial small subunit ribosomal RNA", at positions 338 to 795 of the family's 1533-position model. Lineage: Bacteria; Pseudomonadati; Pseudomonadota; Gammaproteobacteria; Oceanospirillales; Halomonadaceae. The record is from RNAcentral.